UCUACUGAGAGUUUGAUCCUGGCUCAGGACGAAUGUUGGCGGCGUGUCUAAGGCAUGCAAGUCGAGCGAUUUCUUCAGUGUAGCAAUACACGGAAUAUUUAGCGGCAAACGGGUGCGUAACACAUUGGUAACCUGCCUUCCAGUCGGGCAUAACUCACCGAAAGGUGUGCUAAUUCCACGAUACACUCCGCAUGUUAGUAGUGCGAGAGGAAAGCGCAAAACGCGCUGGAAGAGGGGCCUAUGGCCUAUCAGCUAGUUGGUGAGGUAACGGCUCACCAAGGCUAUGACGGGUAGGGGGUGUGAGAGCAUGACCCCCCUCACUGGGACUGAGACACUGCCCAGACACCUACGGGUGGCUGCAGUCGAGAAUAUUCCUCAAUGGGCGAAAGCCUGAAGGAGCGACGCCGCGUGCAGGAUGAAGGGCUUCGGCUCGUAAACUGCUUUUGCUAGGGACGAAACAUGACGGUACCUAGAGAAUAAGUGGUUGCUAACUCUGUGCCAGCAGCAGCGGUAAUACAGAGACCACAAACAUUGUCCGGAUUUAUUGGGCGUAAAGGGUCCGCAGGUGGUUGUGUGCGUCACGGGUUAAAUUCCAGGGCUCAACUUUGGAACUGCUCGUGAUACGACACGACUAGAGGCUGGGAGAGGUAAGCGGAAUUACCGGUGUAGUAGUAAAAUGCGUUAAUAUCGGUAAGAACACCAAAUGCGAAGGCAGCUUACUGGAACAGUUCUGACACUCAGGGACGAAAGCGUGGGGAGCGAAAGGGAUUAGAUACCCCUGUAGUCCACGCCCUAAACGAUGAAUGCUAGAUAUUGGGAGUAUCGACCCUCCCAGUGUCGGUUAAAAUAGUUAACAC
RNAcentral lists this ribosomal RNA (857 nucleotides) under Patescibacteria group bacterium. Its description in RNAcentral is "bacterial SSU rRNA". It matches the Rfam family "Bacterial small subunit ribosomal RNA", at positions 1 to 867 of the family's 1533-position model. The record is from RNAcentral.